UAUCAGAAGUGCGAAUGCUGACAUAAGUAACGAUAAAGCGGGUGAAAAGCCCGCUCGCCGGAAGACCAAGGGUUCCUGUCCAACGUUAAUCGGGGCAGGGUGAGUCGACCCCUAAGGCGAGGCCGAAAGGCGUAGUCGAUGGGAAACAGGUUAAUAUUCCUGUACUUGGUGUUACUGCGAAGGGGGGACGGAGAAGGCUAUGUUGGCCGGGCGACGGUUGUCCCGGUUUAAGCGUGUAGGCUGGUUUUCCAGGCAAAUCCGGAAAAUCAAGGCUGAGGCGUGAUGACGAGGCACUACGGUGCUGAAGCAACAAAUGCCCUGCUUCCAGGAAAAGCCUCUAAGCAUCAGGUAACAUCAAAUCGUACCCCAAACCGACACAGGUGGUCAGGUAGAGAAUACCAAGGCGCUUGAGAGAACUCGGGUGAAGGAACUAGGCAAAAUGGUGCCGUAACUUCGGGAGAAGGCACGCUGAUAUGUAGGUGAAGUCCCUCGCGGAUGGAGCUGAAAUCAGUCGAAGAUACCAGCUGGCUGCAACUGUUUAUUAAAAACACAGCACUGUGCAAACACGAAAGUGGACGUAUACGGUGUGACGCCUGCCCGGUGCCGGAAGGUUAAUUGAUGGGGUUAGCGCAAGCGAAGCUCUUGAUCGAAGCCCCGGUAAACGGCGGCCGUAACUAUAACGGUCCUAAGGUAGCGAAAUUCCUUGUCGGGUAAGUUCCGACCUGCACGAAUGGCGUAAUGAUGGCCAGGCUGUCUCCACCCGAGACUCAGUGAAAUUGAACUCGCUGUGAAGAUGCAGUGUACCCGCGGCAAGACGGAAAGACCCCGUGAACCUUUACUAUAGCUUGACACUGAACAUUGAGCCUUGAUGUGUAGGAUAGGUGGGAGGCUUUGAAGUGUGGACGCCAGUCUGCAUGGAGCCGGCCUUGAAAUACCACCCUUUAAUGUUUGAUGUUCUAACGUUGACCCGUGAUCCGGGUUGCGGACAGUGUCUGGUGGGUAGUUUGACUGGGGCGGUCUCCUCCUAAAGAGUAACGGAGGAGCACGAAGGUUGGCUAAUCCUGGUCGGACAUCAGGAGGUUAGUGCAAUGGCAUAAGCCAGCUUGACUGCGAGCGUGACGGCGCGAGCAGGUGCGAAAGCAGGUCAUAGUGAUCCGGUGGUUCUGAAUGGAAGGGCCAUCGCUCAACGGAUAAAAGGUACUCCGGGGAUAACAGGCUGAUACCGCCCAAGAGUUCAUAUCGACGGCGGUGUUUGGCACCUCGAUGUCGGCUCAUCACAUCCUGGGGCUGAAGUAGGUCCCAAGGGUAUGGCUGUUCGCCAUUUAAAGUGGUACGCGAGCUGGGUUUAGAACGUCGUGAGACAGUUCGGUCCCUAUCUGCCGUGGGCGCUGGAGAACUGAGGGGGGCUGCUCCUAGUACGAGAGGACCGGAGUGGACGCAUCACUGGUGUUCGGGUUGUCAUGCCAAUGGCACUGCCCGGUAGCUAAAUGCGGAAGAGAUAAGUGCUGAAAGCAUCUAAGCACGAAACUUGCCCCGAGAUGAGUUCUCCCUGACCCUUUAAGGGUCCUGAAGGAACGUUGAAGACGACAACGUUGAUAGGCCGGGUGUGUAAGCGCAGCGAUGCGUUGAGCUAACCGGUACUAAUGAACCGUGAGGCUUAACC
This 1663-nucleotide ribosomal RNA is filed under the name Escherichia coli TW10828. Its description in RNAcentral is "bacterial LSU rRNA". It matches the Rfam family "Bacterial large subunit ribosomal RNA", at positions 1280 to 2925 of the family's 2925-position model. The record is from RNAcentral. Lineage: Bacteria; Pseudomonadati; Pseudomonadota; Gammaproteobacteria; Enterobacterales; Enterobacteriaceae.